RNAcentral lists this ribosomal RNA (495 nucleotides) under uncultured bacterium. RNAcentral's name for it is "partial 16S ribosomal RNA". It matches the Rfam family "Bacterial small subunit ribosomal RNA", at positions 28 to 507 of the family's 1533-position model. The record is from RNAcentral.
GACGAACGCUGGCGGCGUGCCUAAUACAUGCAAGUAGAACGCUGAAGGAGGAGCUUGCCUCUCUGGAUGAGUUGCGAACGGGUGAGUAACGCGUAGGUAACCUGCCUGGUAGCGGGGGAUAACUAUUGGAAACGAUAGCUAAUACCGCAUAAGAGUAGAUGUUGCAUGACAUUUGCUUAAAAGGUGCAAUUGCAUCACUACCAGAUGGACCUGCGUUGUAUUAGCUAGUUGGUGGGGUAACGGCUCACCAAGGCGACGAUACAUAGCCGACCUGAGAGGGUGAUCGGCCACACUGGGACUGAGACACGGCCCAGACUCCUACGGGAGGCAGCAGUAGGGAAUCUUCGGCAAUAGACGGAAGUCUGACCGAGCAACGCCGCGUGAGUGAAGAAGGUUUUCGGAUCGUAAAGCUCUGUUGUAAGAGAAGAACGAGUGUGAGAGUGGAAAGUUCACACUGUGACGGUAUCUUACCAGAAAGGGACGGCUAACUACGUG